Molecule: non-coding RNA, 934 nt
Organism: Aegilops tauschii subsp. strangulata
Lineage: Eukaryota; Viridiplantae; Streptophyta; Magnoliopsida; Poales; Poaceae
Source: RefSeq, a predicted model, not a curated record
UGGAACAGAUCAUAUACUGUGUUUUAUAUUCAGAAAGGGUUAUAUGUGUUGAUUGAUCUUUGUAGAUCAAAUAGAUGACCACCUGCUUAGUUUCUGCUUGCUGAAUGCUCCAGCAAGUUAAUGAAGCUUUCAGUAACUGACAGGCUUCAGACAAGUGAAGCUAUGAUAUAGCAAUACUGUUGUGCAGCUCUUGGCAAAGAGAGGAGAUGGCUCCCUCUGUCUUCUCGGACGGCGGAUCAGCAAUUACACGAUCGGAUGCAUACUCCGAGCGAGAUGUGCUUUUGGUGGAGGUCGAUGUAGCUUCGGAGGGCGUCCGUGAAGGAGAAGGAUCUGAGGGGGCUAGGUGCUGAUGAUACUGAUCUGGGCGAAACGCUGUGAUGGUGGAAGGCCACGGGAGUUGCCGGUGCUGACACUGCCUGAAGAGGGAUACGGCGACCACGAUCCUGCCGCCGGUGGCUGCACCUGCGUCGUGGCAGAGAAGGAUGAGAAUGAGGACGAUGUUGGCCCAGAAUCCGAUAGAUGACAGCCCAUACCGUCGUCUUCCAUCCGAGCCGGUUUGGGCGUCAAUAACGGGGUAACGUCGGCCACUUUUCCGAUGUGGGCCAUGGGCCCUGGAUAAAAUAACAAUACAGGGAGUAUAUCUGGGCCUAUACCUGUUCGGUCGAGCAUCCCGAAGCCAGCUGAUGGCGAAGAUAGCGAGCUUACGUGUGCUCGGGCUCACAUGAGCACUUUCCAAAUGUAUAUGAUGGGGUGAAAAGUGGCACGAAGGCUCUGUGCGUGCCAUAAACAUGGCUACUGAGAUAAGAGCAUCUAUAUUGCUCGACAUUGCACCUCUUGCGGAUGAGGCCUGUGGCCAGUGGCGGCUUCAGUAAUUUGCAACCAGAUAUUCAUGUGUAUUCAUUUUGCAAAAAUCAUUGUUGUUUUUUGAAAAUUA